RNAcentral lists this transfer RNA (77 nucleotides) under Dehalococcoidia bacterium. RNAcentral's name for it is "tRNA-His". It matches the Rfam family "tRNA". Rfam says of the family: Transfer RNA (tRNA) molecules are approximately 80 nucleotides in length. Their secondary structure includes four short double-helical elements and three loops (D, anti-codon, and T loops). Further hydrogen bonds mediate the characteristic L-shaped molecular structure. tRNAs have two regions of fundamental functional importance: the anti-codon, which is responsible for specific mRNA codon recognition, and the 3' end, to which the tRNAs corresponding amino acid is attached (by aminoacyl-tRNA synthetases). tRNAs cope with the degeneracy of the genetic code in two manners: having more than one tRNA (with a specific anti-codon) for a particular amino acid; and 'wobble' base-pairing, i.e. permitting non-standard base-pairing at the 3rd anti-codon position. The record is from RNAcentral. Lineage: Bacteria; Bacillati; Chloroflexota; Dehalococcoidia. RNAcentral also lists the same sequence under 1 other name.
GUGAGUGUCGCCUAGAGGUCUAAGGCGCCAGGUUGUGGCCCUGGAGAACGAGGGUUCAAAUCCCUCCACUCACCCCA